This 24-nucleotide non-coding RNA is filed under the name Mus musculus (house mouse). Lineage: Eukaryota; Metazoa; Chordata; Mammalia; Rodentia; Muridae. The record is from RNAcentral.
UGAAAGUCUGAGACCAGCCUGGGC